Molecule: long non-coding RNA, 827 nt
Filed under: Marmota monax (woodchuck)
Lineage: Eukaryota; Metazoa; Chordata; Mammalia; Rodentia; Sciuridae
Source: RNAcentral
CUUAAGGGUCACCCCCCACAGCUUUGGGGCCCACAGAAGAUCAAGGUCACCCUCUCUGUUCAGAUGUCGAGGAUGCCAAGGGCCCUUCUGCACAAGCGCUCCCACACUGGGGUUCCACUGACUUUCAAACCCUGUGGCAAAGGCCUGACGUUUUCUGUGCUCAGUUCUGGUCCUACUACCAGUUGGAGGACAGGCAGAGCUGGCUCUUUAGAGAAGGAAGAACCUGCACAAACAAGUACCCAAGCCAACCAGAGACCAGACAACCAAGUGUCACUUUUAAAUCCCAACCGUUAUGGCACACCCUCAUACUCUGGGGUUCUACUCUCUCAGUAAGUUUCAGAAAAGGAGGGAAAGGGAAGAGGGUGGAAAGGCCUCCUCCACUGAAGACAACAUGCCUUGGGUAAGAGAAACGCAGAUGAUAAUAAAGGAGAUGGCUGAACUCAAACAGACCCUGGGCUCCAACCCCUUGAAUGGCACCUGGGAGAGAAAAAAGAUUAAGGCACAGCUUUGUACCUGCCAGAUUGUCUGAACCUCUCCUGGGAUGAAAUGCAUUGUGUAAAUCAAAUGCACAGAAAAUAUUCACAAGAAUUGUUUCAGAAUAUGAAUUUAAGAAAAGGUCUGAAACUAGAAAAUAUAAAAGAAAAGAAAGUUAUAAGUAUGUAAAUAUAUUUUAACAUGGAAAACUAGAUGAUAAAAGAAAUGGCUUUGGAUGAGAAAGUAUUUUGUGUGGUAAAGUAAUAUUCUUGUGCUAAAGUCCAAGAUAAAAGAGGGGGUGAAGAGAAGGAUGUAAACAAGUUGUAGAAUGUCUAAGUCACAGAAGGUUUAGG